AGGUUUAGAAGGUCUUGAAGGUGUAAAUGUUCCACUAGAUGUAGAUGAAGAUACUAUUACAAAUAUCAACGAGAAGCUCUAUAAGAUGGAAGAAUCAAUUCCUUCCUGGAUUUUAGAACAUGGAGAAUGGGUUUGGCACGGCGCCUUUGAUAGAUAUGGAACUCAUCGAGAUGUUAGAGAUAGAGUUCGAACUAGUUGGACAGAAGAUGAUCUAACUUCAAAUAUGGACGCUAGGGAUAA
This 240-nucleotide unclassified non-coding RNA is filed under the name Eurytemora carolleeae. RNAcentral's name for it is "uncharacterized LOC111714688". Lineage: Eukaryota; Metazoa; Arthropoda; Copepoda; Calanoida; Temoridae. The record is from RNAcentral.